Molecule: ribosomal RNA, 468 nt
Filed under: uncultured bacterium
Lineage: Bacteria
Description: partial 16S ribosomal RNA
Rfam family: Bacterial small subunit ribosomal RNA
Source: RNAcentral
GACGAACGCUGGCGGCGUGCUUAAUACAUGCAAGUCGAACGGAAAGACCCUGCUUUUGUGGCUUGCUCGAGUGGCGCAGGGGUGAGUGACACGUGAGUAUACUGCCCUUAACAUUGGGAUAACUUCACGAGACUCGGGCGCAUACCGCAUAGGAUAUACUGCUCCAUAGUGUGCGAUAGAAAGAGUCGGCGGUUGUGGCUGGACUCGCGGCUUAUCAGCUUGUUGGUGGGGUAGUGGCUUACCAAGGCUUUGACGGGUAGCCGGCCUGAGCGGGUGACAGGCCACAUUGGGACUGAGAGACGGCACAGACUCCGACGGGAGGGAGAAGUGGGGAAUAUUGCACGAUGGGCGGAAGCCUGAUGCAGCAACGCCGCGUGCGGGAUGACGGCCUUCGGGGUGUAAACCGCUUUCGCCUGUGACGAAGCGUGAGUGACGGUAAUGGGUAAAGAAGCACCGGCUAACUACGUU